GGGAUCCUUGAUGCCUACAUCCAUAACAGGAGUUUGCCCCUGCCAGGCUCCAAAGAAGGAUGUUGUGAGAACCAACGAGAAGCACCCAGUGCAGGGACAGCUCCAACGUGGGUCUCAGAAGAACUGUUUGGCUUCUGAGCCAGCUCAGAGAGGGAGGCUCUUCCUGGACCUCCUUCCCUUUUCCAGGAGUCCGGUCCUUUUUAGGAGAGAGCUGUCUGAGAUUGAAGCUGCAAAGACCCCUUUUUUCCAAGAAGGUCUAAGGGAUGCUCAGGUUUCUCCAUCCCUGGCACCUGGUCACGUGACUUGUUUUGGCCACUCUGAGCAGUAACACACUUGAUGUAGCAGAGGGUUUGCUCUCUCGCGGCUCUUGGAAACUGCCAAGACUGCCACCAGGGGACAGGCCCAGAUUAGCCUCUGCAUGACGACGACCGUGUGGCUCAGUCACCCCACUCAGCAGCCAGCCAAGCACCUGACCAGUGAGUGAGGCCACCCACAGUCCACAGACCACAAGACCCCCACCAAAACCAACCAAGGCCAGCAGAAGAUGCACCUGGCUGACCCCAGCCCAAACCUCUGAGCCACAGAUGCAAGAGAGGUACAGAUGGUUGUGGUCAGAAACCAUUGGGCCUGGGGUGGUUUGCAGUACAGCCG
RNAcentral lists this long non-coding RNA (651 nucleotides) under Fukomys damarensis (Damara mole-rat). Its description in RNAcentral is "lncRNA (ENSFDAG00000025475.1)". Lineage: Eukaryota; Metazoa; Chordata; Mammalia; Rodentia; Bathyergidae. The record is from RNAcentral.